Molecule: ribosomal RNA, 322 nt
Filed under: uncultured bacterium
Lineage: Bacteria
Description: bacterial SSU rRNA
Rfam family: Bacterial small subunit ribosomal RNA
Source: RNAcentral
AGGGUUUGAUUAUGGCUCAGGAUGAACGCUGGCGGCGUGCCUAAUACAUGCAAGUCGAACGCAUCACUUCGGUGAUGAGUGGCGAACGGGUGAGUAAGACAUAAGCAACCUGGCUGUACCAGGGGGAUAACGCGUGGAAACAUGCGCUAAGACCGCAUAGGCUUAGAUGAAGCAUUUGAUCUAAGUUAAAUAUCCUAAGGGAUAGGGAACAGAUGGGCUUAUGGUGCAUUAGCUAGUUGGAGGGGUAACGGCCUACCAAGGCGACGAUGCAUAGCCGGCCUGAGAGGGUGAACGGCCACACUGGGACUGAGACACGGCCCAG